AUUCAGACCAGCUAACGUCCGCAUCCAGUAUUCAGUGGCAGUUCUCAUAGCCCCAUCACACUGUUUGUGUCUAAUACAUGCAUCGCUUGAAAGACGGACGCUGUUGAGGGAGCCAUGAGAAGGAGGCGAAAACAUUUCCAUAAAAGAGGUGGGGAGAGAGAAGCACACAAAAAGGCUCUUUGCUGCUCUCAGCGUGGACUGAAAGCUUUGGAAGAAAACACUGCAAUAAACAUCUGUACUUAAAGAAUUAUAUUUCGAUCUCAGUAUGAAGGCUGAAUAUAUUCUGUGGAGCUCUGGAUGACAAACUGCUCAUUCCAGCAACAAAAACAACACGCACCCAGGAUGGACCCCAAAGACGAAGCACUGAGUCUUCUAAACAAGAUUUGGGCCAAGCUGCAGGAUUUGCCCAAUGCCAGCCCUAUCGAAAUAGUAGCUUUCCUCAUCCUUUUAACAUUCAUCUUGGUGGUUUUUGGUAUAGCCGCUCUGACCUGCACAUCAUGCUUUCACUACUGCGCCUGUUGCUGCCGCAAGCGCAAAAAGAAGCAAGCAUCUGACAUAAUCUAAUGCUUUCAAUCAUUUACCACAUCACUUAUCCUCAUUAAGAUUUAAAAAAAAAAAAAAAAAAAAAAGGUUUGUGCCAAGGUAAUCAAGUUUCACACUGAGAACCUGUGAUACAAGCACUUGCCAUGAACGAUGUGGUCAGGCAAGGGUGUGUCCAGGAGGGUGGAAGAGUCCCGGCCCUUUAACUGACAGUAACAUUGAUGUCCUGACUCACUGACACACCUGAUGAAGCUGACAAACAACAUUCCUUGACUCAACUUACAACAACAGCCCUCCUGAUUGAAGGACAAACACAACCAAACCAUAUUCGACCAUGUGAGCCCAUAAAUGGAAUACAUAUGGAACAACAUCAACAUGUUGAUUUUCUUUUUCUUUCAGAAAAACAUGAACGUGGACAUUAAACUUGUUUUUUACUGCCUCCUUUAACUUCAUCAGGAAUGACGUUCACUUUAUGAAUUGCUGUUGGAGCGCAUCCUAAAACCGCAAAAUUGCACACACUGAAUGGUCAGGUCUGCCCUCUGCUGUACACAUUAGGAAAUAAACCCAAUUCAUUUCCAACCAGACCUUAUUUAACCUGUAUUAGACAUGUAAGUAAUGUAUAAAGUUUUUAGCCAAAGAUAUUUACAUGAAUAAGCCAAUAAAGACAGCGUAUCUGAUGUGUGAUGUCUUCACUUACCUUUCCUGUUCACAAAAACGCACCAUGGCGUCAAAGUCAGUAAUGGCCGUUUUAUCUGAUUCCUUUGCAUAGUUACGUUUUUCCUGCAGUCAAAAAUUGGCAAUUUGAUUGGUGGUAAAAUUAACAGAAACUCCUUAUCACUGCUGUAGUGGUUGCUGCUAUGCUGACCUUUUUACGUGCAACCUCUUGAUUGAUGAGAAACAUAAUUUGCUCUCUAUCUUUACGGGAGUAGUAAAUGCGACAGAGCGAUGGCAAUCCGUCUCUUCCUGCUCGCCCAGAUUCUUGGUAGUAGCUUGCCAUUGAUUUUGCAAGGUUCCAAUGAGCAACGAACCUGGUGGAAUAAUAGAGAUACAGUGUAUCACAAAAGUGAGUACACCCCUCGCAUUUCUACAGAUAUUUAUAUAUUUUCAUGGGACAACACUGACACAAUGAAAAGUCUGUGUGCAGCUUAUAUAAUAGAGUUAAUUUAUUUUCCCCUCAAAAGAACUCGAAAUAUAUCCACUAAUAUCUAAACCCCUG
This is a long non-coding RNA of Corythoichthys intestinalis (scribbled pipefish), 1756 nucleotides long. RefSeq lists it as uncharacterized. The transcript has 5 exons. NCBI's taxonomy places the organism in Eukaryota, Metazoa, Chordata, Actinopteri, Syngnathiformes, Syngnathidae. The record is from RefSeq and is a predicted model, not a curated record.